AUGGGUGGCCCGGCUGUGAGGGAGCCCACAGUGGCGGCGGCGGCGGCGGGCGGCACUGGUGGAGUUGGGAAAAGUUGCGAGGCGGCCGCUGGAAGUUGCGCGGGCGGGCUGGCGGGCGGGCUGCGCCGAGCCCGCGGCUGCAGUAGUGGGCGCUGUGCGCUCGGCCAUGCUGGCCGGCGCGCGCGGCGCGGCGGGAGGACCCGGGCAGGGAGUGGGGGAGACAAAGGUGGGGGGGGGCUGAGUCGCGGGGUGAGGGGUACCACCACAGCCGAACUCCCGACUCCUCAGAGCCACUGGCAGGUGGGCCGCGAGGAGGCCCUGAAAGCGCGUGGAGAGCCGGGAAUGGAGGGCGCGCGGCCAGCGGUUGCCGAGGAGUUGGGAGGGCGAGAGGGCGCUCUCCGAACCGCGAACCAGGGGCUGGCGGGGCGCCGAGCGACCCCCAGGGGGCGAGCUGCCCGAACGUUGGGUCGCGGAGGGGGUGCGGUUGAACCUCUCGCUCUGCUGGGUGCAGCCCGGGUCCCGGGUCAGGAACCCUCCCCGGCGCCCCCUGCCUGCCCAGUGCGUUGCAGCCUUAGUCACGCGGGACGAGGCCGCUUGGCUUUGGGGCUGGGGGCCGUGGGACCCUCAUUCCUCACUCUUCCAGCCAAAGUAUUGGGUGACUGUCCCGGCGUGGCCUGCCGAGCCGACACCAUCCGACACGGCGUGUUGUGUAGGCAACACGGGUGGGUUUGUCCAAAUGCUUCUACCCCCAAUCUAAGGGGACUCGUGGCGCCGAGCCCUGGAGCAGCCCGCGGCGCCCUCAGCAGCGUCGGCACGCGGGGCUGGAGCUGCUCCCAGGGAGACCAGGCCGUCCCUGGUCCUCCUCACAUUUGCACUUGGUGGAAACAGAACUGUACGCGCUUUGCUGGUAGACCAGAGACCAGAAAUGAGAGAUUGGGGAGGGGGUUGCAUUUCCUCAGCGAGGUCCCCAGGCCCCCCUUCCCCGUCCCUGGCCGUUUAGAACCAGGUUUGGCAGGCGCUGCACGCCCCCCCCCAGGCGGUGGCCGCCCCUCGGCGGGCUCGGCGUGGCGGGCGGUGGGAGUCGGCGGGUGCCGGGCGUGA
This 1101-nucleotide long non-coding RNA is filed under the name Oryctolagus cuniculus (rabbit). RNAcentral's name for it is "lncRNA (ENSOCUG00000034649.1)". Lineage: Eukaryota; Metazoa; Chordata; Mammalia; Lagomorpha; Leporidae. The record is from RNAcentral.